AAUGGGCGAAAGCCUGAUGCAGCAACGCCGCGUGAAGGAUGAAGGCCCUAGGGUCGUAAACUUCUGUUCUUGGGGAAGAUAAUGACGGUACCCAAGGAGCAAGCCCCGGCUAACUACGUGCCAGCAGCCGCGGUAAUACGUAGGGGGCAAGCGUUAUCCGGAAUUAUUGGGCGUAAAGAGUGCGUAGGUGGUUACCUAAGCGCAGGGUUUAAGGCAAUGGCUCAACCAUUGUUCGCCUUGCGAACUGGGCUACUUGAGUGCAGGAGAGGAAAGCGGAAUUCCUAGUGUAGCGGUGAAAUGCGUAGAUAUUAGGAGGAACACCAGCGGCGAAGGCGGCUUUCUGGACUGUAACUGACACUGAGGCACGAAAGCGUGGGGAGCAAA
This 384-nucleotide ribosomal RNA is filed under the name uncultured bacterium. RNAcentral describes it as "bacterial SSU rRNA". It matches the Rfam family "Bacterial small subunit ribosomal RNA", at positions 370 to 772 of the family's 1533-position model. The record is from RNAcentral.